GGAGGGGUGGCCGAGUGGUUGAAGGCGCACGCCUGGAAAGUGUGUAUACGGGAAACUGUAUCGCGGGUUCGAAUCCCGCUCCCUCCGCCA
This 90-nucleotide transfer RNA is filed under the name Pseudolabrys sp. RNAcentral's name for it is "tRNA-Ser". It matches the Rfam family "tRNA". From Rfam's summary of the family: Transfer RNA (tRNA) molecules are approximately 80 nucleotides in length. Their secondary structure includes four short double-helical elements and three loops (D, anti-codon, and T loops). RNAcentral also lists the same sequence under 2 other names. Lineage: Bacteria; Pseudomonadati; Pseudomonadota; Alphaproteobacteria; Hyphomicrobiales; Xanthobacteraceae. The record is from RNAcentral.